RNAcentral lists this ribosomal RNA (277 nucleotides) under uncultured bacterium. RNAcentral describes it as "partial 16S ribosomal RNA". It matches the Rfam family "Bacterial small subunit ribosomal RNA", at positions 524 to 796 of the family's 1533-position model. The record is from RNAcentral.
UACGGAGGGGACUAGCGUUGUUCGGAUUUACUGGGCGUAAAGGGUGCGUAGGCGGCCUAGUAAGUUUAGAAGUGAAAGCCUGGGGCUCAACCCCAGAACUGCUUCUAAAACUAUUAGGCUAGAGUAUGGGAGAGGAUAGUGGAAUUCCUAGUGUAGAGGUGAAAUUCUUAGAUAAUUAGGAGGAACACCGGUGGCGAAAAGCGACUAUCUGGAACAUUACUGACGCUGAGGCACGAAAGCGUGGGGAGCAAAACAGGAUUGAGAUACCCGGUAGUCC